Ribosomal RNA from Petromyzon marinus (sea lamprey), 119 nucleotides. The record is from Ensembl. NCBI's taxonomy places the organism in Eukaryota, Metazoa, Chordata, Hyperoartia, Petromyzontiformes, Petromyzontidae.
GCCUACGACCAUCUCACCCUGAAUGCGCCCGAUCUCGUCUGAUCUCCGAAGCUAAGCAGGGUCGAGCCUGGUCAGUACUUGGAUGGGAGACUGCCUGGGAAUACCAGGUGUUGUAGGCU